GAUGAACGCUAGCGACAGGCUUAACACAUGCAAGUCGAGGGGCAGCAUGAUUUGUAGCAAUACAGAUUGAUGGCGACCGGCGCACGGGUGAGUAACGCGUAUGCAACUUACCUAUCAGAGGGGGAUAGCCCGGCGAAAGUCGGAUUAAUACCCCAUAAAACAGGGGUCCCGCAUGGGAAUAUUUGUUAAAGAUUCAUCGCUGAUAGAUAGGCAUGCGUUCCAUUAGGCAGUUGGCGGGGUAACGGCCCACCAAACCGACGAUGGAUAGGGGUUCUGAGAGGAAGGUCCCCCACAUUGGUACUGAGACACGGACCAAACUCCUACGGGAGGCAGCAGUGAGGAAUAUUGGUCAAUGGGCCGAGAGGCUGAACCAGCCAAGUCGCGUGAAGGAAGAAGGAUCUAUGGUUUGUAAACUUCUUUUAUAGGGAAUAAAGUGGAGGACGUGUCCUUUUUUGUAUUGUACCCUAUGAAUAAGCAUCGGCUAACUCCGUGCCAGCAGCCG
RNAcentral lists this ribosomal RNA (502 nucleotides) under uncultured bacterium. Its description in RNAcentral is "bacterial SSU rRNA". It matches the Rfam family "Bacterial small subunit ribosomal RNA", at positions 28 to 517 of the family's 1533-position model. The record is from RNAcentral.